UAACACGUAGGGGGCAAGCGUUGUCCGGAUUCAUUGGGCGUAAAGAGCUCGUAGGCGGCUCGGCAAGUCGGGUGUGAAACCUCCAGGCUCAACCUGGAGACGCCACUCGAUACUGCUGUGGCUAGAGUCCAGUAGGGGAGCGUGGAAUUCCUGGUGUAGCGGUGAAAUGCGCAGAUAUCAGGAGGAACACCAGCGGCGAAGGCGGCGCUCUGGGCUGGAACUGACGCUGAGGAGCGAAAGCGUGGGGAGCAAACAGGAUUAGAUACCCUGGUAGUCCACGCCGUAAACGUUGGGCACUAGGUGUGGGUCGUUAUCAACGCGAUCUGUGCCGUCGCUAACGCAUUAAGUGCCCCGCCUGGGGAGUACGGCCGCAAGGCUA
RNAcentral lists this ribosomal RNA (379 nucleotides) under uncultured bacterium. RNAcentral's name for it is "bacterial SSU rRNA". It matches the Rfam family "Bacterial small subunit ribosomal RNA", at positions 521 to 896 of the family's 1533-position model. The record is from RNAcentral.